AACGAACGCUGGCGGCAUGCCUCACACAUGCAAGUCGAACGAGACCUUCGGGUCUAGUUGCGCACGGGUGCGUAACGCGUGGGAACCUGCCCUUAGGUUCGGAAUAACUCCCCGAAAGGGGUGCUAAUACCGGAUAAUGUCUUCGGACCAAAGAUUUAUCGCCUUUGGAUGGGCCCGCGUUGGAUUAGCUAGUUGGUAGGGUAAAAGCCUACCAAGGCGACGAUCCAUAGCUGGUCUGAGAGGAUGAUCAGCCACACUGGGACUGAGACACGGCCCAGACUCCUACGGGAGGCAGCAGUGGGGAAUAUUGGACAAUGGGCGAAAGCCUGAUCCAGCAAUGCCGCGUGAGUGAUGAAGGCCUUAGGGUUGUAAAGCUCUUUUACCCGGGAUGAUAAUGACAGUACCGGGAGAAUAAGCUCCGGCUAACUCCGUG
This 433-nucleotide ribosomal RNA is filed under the name uncultured bacterium. RNAcentral's name for it is "partial 16S ribosomal RNA". It matches the Rfam family "Bacterial small subunit ribosomal RNA", at positions 29 to 507 of the family's 1533-position model. The record is from RNAcentral.